CGUAGAGUUUGAUCCUGGCUCAGGACAACGCUGGCGGCGUGCCUAACACAUGCAAGUCGAGCGAGUGGAGUUCUUCGGAACAAAGCUAGCGGCGGACGGGUGAGUAACACGUGGGCAACCUGCCUCAUAGAGGGGGAAUAGCCUUCCGAAAGGGAGAUUAAUACCACAUAAGAUUGUAGCUUCGCAUGAAGUAGCAAUUAAAGGAGCAAUCCGCUAUGAGAUGGGCCCGCGGCGCAUUAGCUAGUUGGUGAGGUAACGGCUCACCAAGGCGACGAUGCGUAGCCGACCUGAGAGGGUGAUCGGCCACAUUGGGACUGAGACACGGCCCAGACUCCUACGGGAGGCAGCAGUGGGGAAUAUUGCACAAUGGGGGAAACCCUGAUGCAGCAACGCCGCGUGAGCGAUGAAGUAUCUCGGUAUGUAAAGCUCUAUCAGCAGGGAAGAAAGUGACAGUACCUGACUAAGAAGCCCCGGCUAACUACGUG
Molecule: ribosomal RNA, 485 nt
Filed under: uncultured Clostridium sp.
Lineage: Bacteria; Bacillati; Bacillota; Clostridia; Eubacteriales; Clostridiaceae
Description: bacterial SSU rRNA
Rfam family: Bacterial small subunit ribosomal RNA
Source: RNAcentral